Molecule: ribosomal RNA, 484 nt
Filed under: Cohnilembus sp.
Lineage: Eukaryota; Ciliophora; Oligohymenophorea; Philasterida; Cohnilembidae
Description: SSU rRNA
Rfam family: Eukaryotic small subunit ribosomal RNA
Source: RNAcentral
CUAAGGAAGGCAGCAGGCGCGUAAAUUACCCAAUCCUGAUUCAGGGAGGUAGUGACAAGAAAUAACAACCUGGAUGACUUUUUCCUUACGGGAUUGCAAUGAGAACAAUUUAAAUGACUUAACGAGGAACAAUUGGAGGGCAAGUCUGGGGCCAGCAGCCGCGGUAAUUCCAGCUCCAAUAGCGUAUAUUAAAGUUGUUGCAGUUAAAAAGCUCGUAGUUGAACUUCUGUACGUGCCCUGUUCUGGCUCCGGUCAAGCGGUGACGCGUGCAUCCGCUUGCAAACUAGUCUCGUCCUUAACUGGUCGUUCAAGGGAGUAAGCCCUUUACUUUGAAAAAAUUAGAGUGUUUCAGGCAGGCAAUGGCUCGAAUACAUUAGCAUGGAAUAAUGAAAUAGAACUUUUGUCCAUUUGGUUGGUUUUUGGACUUAAGUAAUGAUUAAAAGGGACAGUUGGGGGCAUUAGUAUUUAAUUGUCAGAGGUGAAA